CCGGGCCCCCAGGAAGCGACGCGGCAUACAGGAGCAGCGCCGCGGUAAUACGGGAGCCAGCAGCCGCGGUAAUACGGGAGCCAGCAGCCGCGGUAAUACGGGAGCCAGCCUCCGGGGUAAUACCGGAGCGAAAGCCCACGGUUACUUCGGGGCCACCGCCCGCGGAAUAACGGG
Molecule: ribosomal RNA, 174 nt
Filed under: uncultured bacterium
Lineage: Bacteria
Description: partial 16S ribosomal RNA
Source: RNAcentral